GAUGAACGCUGGCGGCGUGCCUAAUACAUGCAAGUCGAACGAAACUUCUUUAUCACCGAGUGCUUGCACUCACCGAUAAAGAGUUGAGUGGCGAACGGGUGAGUAACACGUGGGCAACCUGCCCAAAAGAGGGGGAUAACACUUGGAAACAGGUGCUAAUACCGCAUAACCAUAGUUACCGCAUGGUAACUAUGUAAAAGGUGGCUAUACUACCGCUUUUGGAUGGGCCCGCGGCGCAUUAGCUAGUUGGUAGGGUAAAGGCUUACCAAGGCAAUGAUGCGUAGCCGAAGUGAGAGGUGGGUCGGCCACAUUGGGACUGAGACACGGCCCAAACUCCUACGGGAGGCAGCAGUAGGGAAUCUUCCACAAUGGGCGAAAGCCUGAUGGAGCAACGCCGCGUGGGUGAAGAAGGUCUUCGGAUCGUAAAACCCUGUUGUUAGAGAAGAAAGUGCGUGAGAGUAACUGUUCACGUUUCGACGGUAUCUAACCAGAAAGCCACGGCUAACUACGUG
RNAcentral lists this ribosomal RNA (512 nucleotides) under uncultured bacterium. RNAcentral's name for it is "partial 16S ribosomal RNA". It matches the Rfam family "Bacterial small subunit ribosomal RNA", at positions 28 to 507 of the family's 1533-position model. The record is from RNAcentral.